CACAAGCAGUGGAGUAUGUGUUUAAUUCGAAGCAACGCGAAGAACCUUACCAGGUCUUUGACAUCCGAUGCUAUUUCUAGAGAUAGAAGUUACUGGUACAUCGGUGACAGGUGGUGCAUGGUUGUCGUCAGCUCGUGUCGUGAGAUGUUGGGUUAAGUCCCGCAACGAGCGCAACCCCUAUUGUUAGUUGCCAUCAUUCAGUUGGGCACUCUAGCGAGACUGCCGGUAAUAAACCGGAGGAAGGUGGGGAUGACGUCAAAUCAUCAUGCCCCUUAUGACCUGGGCUACACACGUGCUACAAUGGUUGGUACAACGAGUUGCGAGUCGGUGACGGCGAGCUAAUCUCUUAAAGCCAAUCUCAGUUCGGAUUGUAGGCUGCAACUCGCCUACAUGAAGUCGGAAUCGCUAGUAAUCGCGGAUCAGCACGCCGCGGUGAAUACGUUCCCGGGCCUU
Molecule: ribosomal RNA, 453 nt
Filed under: uncultured Streptococcus sp.
Lineage: Bacteria; Bacillati; Bacillota; Bacilli; Lactobacillales; Streptococcaceae
Description: bacterial SSU rRNA
Rfam family: Bacterial small subunit ribosomal RNA
Source: RNAcentral